This 74-nucleotide transfer RNA is filed under the name Vibrio phage 2.275.O._10N.286.54.E11. RNAcentral's name for it is "tRNA-Ile". It matches the Rfam family "tRNA". From Rfam's summary of the family: Transfer RNA (tRNA) molecules are approximately 80 nucleotides in length. Their secondary structure includes four short double-helical elements and three loops (D, anti-codon, and T loops). Further hydrogen bonds mediate the characteristic L-shaped molecular structure. tRNAs have two regions of fundamental functional importance: the anti-codon, which is responsible for specific mRNA codon recognition, and the 3' end, to which the tRNAs corresponding amino acid is attached (by aminoacyl-tRNA synthetases). tRNAs cope with the degeneracy of the genetic code in two manners: having more than one tRNA (with a specific anti-codon) for a particular amino acid; and 'wobble' base-pairing, i.e. permitting non-standard base-pairing at the 3rd anti-codon position. Lineage: Duplodnaviria; Heunggongvirae; Uroviricota; Caudoviricetes. The record is from RNAcentral.
AGUUCUAUAGCUCAGUUGGUUAGAGCGCACCCCUGAUAAGGGUGAGGUCGCAGGUUCAAAUCCCGCUAGGACUA